Molecule: ribosomal RNA, 285 nt
Filed under: Triticum aestivum (bread wheat)
Lineage: Eukaryota; Viridiplantae; Streptophyta; Magnoliopsida; Poales; Poaceae
Description: partial small subunit ribosomal RNA
Source: RNAcentral
GGAUGUAAUCGCCUUAUUAUUAACUCGGAUAACCUGGAGGUGAUUGAAACUAUGCAGGAUGGAGGACAGCCGGCGGGUGCAGCGGCGGCAAUUUUCGAAGAUUUCUUUCAUUGCGCCUAUGAUUUCAUUACUACUAGAUUCGAACAUUGUAAUAGAGAAGCAAAUAAAGUAGCUCACGGGCUUGCUAGAUUAGCUAGAUUUUCUUUGACUUCUGAUUGGUUUGAGGAACCCUUAGAUGAAAUUGUAAUGAUCCUCACAAUGAUGUACUUGUUAUCUAUAGAAUAA